This is a long non-coding RNA of Cervus elaphus (red deer), 217 nucleotides long. RefSeq lists it as uncharacterized. The transcript has 4 exons. The record is from RefSeq and is a predicted model, not a curated record. Lineage: Eukaryota; Metazoa; Chordata; Mammalia; Artiodactyla; Cervidae.
UAUUGAGUGUGGCACUUUCACAGCAUCAUCUUUUAAGAUUUGAAACAGCUCAACUGGAAUUCCAUCACCUCCACUAGCUUUGUUCAUAGUGAUGCUUCUUAAGGCCCACUUGACUUUGCAUUCCACAAUGUCUGCCUCUAGGUCAGUGAUCGCACCACUGUGGUUACCUGGGUCAUUAAGAUCUUUUUAGAAUACAGAUCUUCUGUGUAUUCUUGCC